Molecule: ribosomal RNA, 464 nt
Filed under: Vreelandella stevensii
Lineage: Bacteria; Pseudomonadati; Pseudomonadota; Gammaproteobacteria; Oceanospirillales; Halomonadaceae
Description: partial 16S ribosomal RNA
Rfam family: Bacterial small subunit ribosomal RNA
Source: RNAcentral
CCUACGGGAGGCUGCAGUGGGGAAUAUUGGACAAUGGGGGGAACCCUGAUCCAGCCAUGCCGCGUGUGUGAAGAAGGCCCUCGGGUUGUAAAGCACUUUCAGUGAGGAAGAACGCCUGGUGGUUAAUACCCAUCAGGAAAGACAUCACUCACAGAAGAAGCACCGGCUAACUCCGUGCCAGCAGCCGCGGUAAUACGGAGGGUGCGAGCGUUAAUCGGAAUUACUGGGCGUAAAGCGCGCGUAGGUGGCUUGAUAAGCCGGUUGUGAAAGCCCCGGGCUCAACCUGGGAACGGCAUCCGGAACUGUCAAGCUAGAGUGCAGGAGAGGAAGGUAGAAUUCCCGGUGUAGCGGUGAAAUGCGUAGAGAUCGGGAGGAAUACCAGUGGCGAAGGCGGCCUUCUGGACUGACACUGACACUGAGGUGCGAAAGCGUGGGUAGCAAACAGGAUUAGAUCCCCUGUAGUC